RNAcentral lists this ribosomal RNA (570 nucleotides) under uncultured bacterium. RNAcentral describes it as "bacterial SSU rRNA". It matches the Rfam family "Bacterial small subunit ribosomal RNA", at positions 220 to 782 of the family's 1533-position model. The record is from RNAcentral.
AGCGGAGCGGCCGAUGACUGAUUAGCUAGUUGGUAAGGUAAAGGCUUACCAAGGCGACGAUCAGUAGCUGGUCUGAGAGGACGACCAGCCACACUGGGACUGAGACACGGCCCAGACUCCUACGGGAGGCAGCAGUGGGGAAUUUUGGACAAUGGGCGCAAGCCUGAUCCAGCUAUUCCGCGUGUGGGAAGACGGCCUUCGGGUUGUAAACCACUUUUGUAGAGAACGAAAAGUCUGUUGAUAAUACCGAUAGAUGAUGACGGUACUCUAAGAAUAAGCACCGGCUAACUACGUGCCAGCAGCCGCGGUAAUACGUAGGGUGCGAGCGUUAAUCGGAAUUACUGGGCGUAAAGGGUGUGCAGGCGGUUUUGCAAGAUGGAUGUGAAAGCCCCGGGCUUAACCUGGGAAAGCCAUACAUGACUGCAAGACUAGAGUGCGUCAGAGGGGGGUGGAAUUCCAAGUGUAGCAGUGAAAUGCGUAGAUAUUUGGAAGAACACCGAUGGCGAAGGCAGCCCCCUGGGACGCAACUGACGCUCAUACACGAAAGCGUGGGGAGCAAACAGGAUUAGA